GUUUCAAAUUGUGAACACAGGCAACAAUAAAGUUUUACUUUAACUGUACAGAAGAUAGCGUUUUAGUCAAUCAACAUUAAAUACCCGCUGUUUCUCGUUUAUAUAUUGCCAUUUGGUUGCUUUUACAAUACGGUUUAGGAUUUUAAAGUUUUUGAGAAUAUGGACAGAAUGUGGGUGCUUGUUUUUGCAAUUCUCGUUUGCUGGGAAGUCUCUAUAGCUCAGAAAACUAAAAUAAAUAACGAAGAACUUAAACCUGUGUUAAAGCCGGACCCAGCAGGACCAAAUCUAAGUCGACAACCAGGAGGUCGCAGAGGAGGGUGGGGAGGAUGGCGUAGUAAGAGAGCGAUGCCAGAGGAAGAAGAAGAAGACGAUUUCAGCGGAAUGUUUGGAUAACUGUUUGUAAUGAUUUUUUGACUGUGCGCAUUUUUACACAAACCAUUAAUGACAUGAUCUGAUGAUACAACUUUUAAAAAAAAAAUUGAAACAUUUUUAAAGAAAAAUUGAAAAAAAAA
Molecule: non-coding RNA, 512 nt
Organism: Ciona intestinalis (vase tunicate)
Lineage: Eukaryota; Metazoa; Chordata; Ascidiacea; Phlebobranchia; Cionidae
Source: RefSeq, a predicted model, not a curated record